GACGAACGCUGGCGGCGUGCUUAACACAUGCAAGUCGAACGAUGAAGUUCCUUCGGGAAUGGAUUAGUGGCGAACGGGUGAGAAACACGUGAGAAACCUGCCUUUCAUUUUGGGAUAACUCCGGGAAACCGGAGCUAACACCGAAUACUCCGUCUCGGCGGCAUCGCUGAGCCGGGAAUAAAUUAUGAUGAAAGAUGGUCUCGCGGCCUAUCAGCUAGUUGGUGAGGUAAUGGCUCACCAAGGCGACGACGGGUAGCCGGCCUGAGAGGGCGACCGGCCACACUGGGACUGAGACACGGCCCAGGCUCCUACGGGAGGCAGCAGUGGGGAAUAUUGGGCAAUGGGCGCAAGCCUGACCCAGCGACGCCGCGUGAGGGAUGAAGGCCUUCGGGUUGUAAACCUCUUUCAGUAGGGAAGAAGCGAAAGUGACGGUACCUAAAGAAGAAGCACCGGCUAACUAUGUGCCAGCCGCCGCCGUAA
Molecule: ribosomal RNA, 480 nt
Filed under: uncultured bacterium
Lineage: Bacteria
Description: partial 16S ribosomal RNA
Rfam family: Bacterial small subunit ribosomal RNA
Source: RNAcentral